AUCCAGUGUAAACAGUAAUACUCCUAAACUUGAUAAUAUGGUUCAUAAAUUUCGUACCGUAUUACUAUAUGGUGAUAACAAGCUGAAGGAAGCUGUUAGAGAAAGUAGGGAGCGUGUGGUAGAUAACGAUCUGGAGAUCGAUCAAGGAAACUUUGACAGUAAACAGUUGUUUGAUGCCGUCCAACAGUUUAGAACGGAUAAGUGUAAGUAUAACACCAAAUAU
RNAcentral lists this long non-coding RNA (223 nucleotides) under Oryza brachyantha (malo sina). Its description in RNAcentral is "long non-coding RNA (OBRA_LNC003656)". Lineage: Eukaryota; Viridiplantae; Streptophyta; Magnoliopsida; Poales; Poaceae. The record is from RNAcentral.